Molecule: ribosomal RNA, 369 nt
Filed under: uncultured bacterium
Lineage: Bacteria
Description: bacterial SSU rRNA
Rfam family: Bacterial small subunit ribosomal RNA
Source: RNAcentral
GAAGGGAGCUAGCGUUGUUCGGAAUUACUGGGCGUAAAGGGCGCGUAGGCGGCCGUAUAAGUCAGAUGUGAAAGCCCUGGGCUCAACCUAGGAAUUGCAUUUGAUACUGUACGGCUAGAGAUCGAAAGAGGAGAGUGGAAUUGCGAGUGUAGAGGUGAAAUUCGUAGAUAUUCGCAAGAACACCAGUGGCGAAGGCGGCUCUCUGGUUCGAUACUGACGCUAAGGCGCGAAAGCGUGGGGAGCAAACAGGAUUAGAUACCCUGGUAGUCCACGCUGUAAACGAUGAGUGCUAGAUGUUGGGGGAGCGAUCCUUCAGUGUCGCAGCUAACGCAUUAAGCACUCCGCCUGGGGAGUACGGUCGCAAGAUUA